CUCUGUCCGGACGCUCCUUCACUCCGCUCCUCUCACUGGAACAUCAGGGACGCACUAAUGCUCUAAAGUAACGCAAAAAGGUUACAAACACACCGAGAAAAAAACAAAACAAAACAAAAAAGCGAAAAGGAAGGAAUAUUUAGAACCGAAAACAACUGGAAGGAAUACAACUUGUAGAUGAUCAUAUUUCCCACCCGAAAAAUCACUGGACGUUUUGACAUCAUGAGGAUUUUCAGUGCUGUGCUCUUACUCGUUCACGCCUUGGUGGUGUCCAGAACGGCCAGUGGUGCUGCAGUUGACAGGUAUGAGAGCGACAGACAGCGGCACACAACUGUUAUCAACUUGGACACGACCAAAGACAGGAGGGUGGAGGAGGAGAGCAGAAGCGUGAGUGCUACAACAGCGGAGAAUGGUCAGGAUGGCGAGGAGUACGGAGAUUAUUAUUAUGAAGACGAGUACGAAGGCGGCAUGUCGGGAGACUAUGGGGAACUGCCGCGAAUUGCCAUGGUAAGCAAACCCAACGACCCGUCUGCCAUCCUGGAGACUGAAAGCACUGAAGGAAAGAGAAGGAGAGCAAAGGGAAGAAAGAGGGGGAAAGGCAAGGGAAUGAAGAGGGAUCCUUGCCUGAAGAAGUAUAAAGAUUUCUGCAUUCACGGCACCUGCCAGUACCUGAGGGGCCUCCAUGCCCCAUCCUGUGUGUGCCAUCCGAGUUACUCUGGGGAGAGGUGUCAGUUUUUCACAUUGCCCUUGGAGAAGCCUCAGGAGGGCUACAACCGCACCACAGCUCUGGCCGUGGUGGCGGUGGUGCUGUCGUCCGUCUGCCUCACCAUCAUAGCCCUUUUAUUGUUGCUUAGGUUUCACAAGCGGGGAGCGUAUGAUGUAGAGAAUGAAGAGAAGGUCAAAUUAGGGUUAGCGUCCAACCACUGAAGAGACAAAGAGGCAAAGAUGUGGAAAUUCUACCUCAAAAUAGAAAAAGAGAAGUGAAGCGCGAAUGGAGGUCCUAGAGGGAAACGAUCGUACAUGAAGAAGGGAACAGAGGUUGUCGUCUGCCUCGACCCUCUGCCAGAUGUUCAGAUGUAAAAAUGGGCAGGUGAAUAUAUAUUCCUGAAGGCCUCAGAAGAAAGUGGGCUCACCUGAAACUGGAAUACUAACGGCCCAGAGGAUGGACUGGAGAUGUGACGAACACGAGGGAACGAGAAGAAGGAGAAGGAGAAGGAGAAGGAGAAGAAGGAACAUGUCUAGACUCUGUGCUGCUUCUUGACUGUGUGAAAAGAGGUCGUUUCAGACUGAACUGAACAAGUUUUUUAACAAAAGCAUUUUGUAUUUUCCUGCACAAGUCCAUCUUUUUUUGUUUUUUUGUGUACAGUAAACGGUAUAUUUAUAAUUUUAAUUUAUUUAUUUAAGCUAACUGUAUUUAUAGAGACUUUAACCACCUUCAGCCAUUUUUAAAAUAAUGAUGUUACAGUUGUUUUUAUAUUUCUUAUUGGAACGAUAUUUAUUUAUGAAACAGAAAAGCAAACGAUGCAGAAGCUCCUUGAGAUAUUUAGCAUUUCAUGGAAAGAGAUAUGAUGCAUAACUGUCUGAUUUCUGGCUUUAAGUUUGGCACUCAGUAGAUGAUCAAUAGCACUGUGAUUAAAAAAAAUUGAUCGUUGAAUAGACAGGAUCGGGGUUUUUUUUUUUUAAUUCAGGUUAGUUUCAUUGAGAGCAAUGCUUUUCAGAAACGCCCUGCUCACACUCACACAGUUACACACAUUCACACCUGAAGGCUGCAACCAGUUGGAUCUGUCAGCCAAUCAGCAGCUCCUCUGUAGAAGUUGAGGGUUCAGGGCCGUGCUUAAAGGCACACCAGUGGUAGUAAUGGGGCAGGGGCUGCUCUUCCAGCUACAUUAAACAUGCAGUAGGCUUAGUGUUCUGUCUCAAUGUUAUAAGAUCAGAUCAAUGCCUGUCAUUAACGAUGCAUUGCACUUGCUAUGUAUUGAGUAAAGGUAACAUAAAAACUUCACUUAGCAACUGCAAUGUAAAGAAAUCUUUAAAAGGGAGUCGAAUAUCAAAUGCACUGUAGCAAGAAUUUGGUAUGAAUAUGUUGUCUUACCAUCAUUAGAGGAGAAACUCUGUCAGAUCUAUGUUAAGCUGUCAAGCAAAAACAAAAUGUGAAUUCAAGUGUUCCACCCUUUCAAAUCCUGUCCUGCAGUUUUGAAGUGAUUUUUAUUUAUGUGAUUUUUUUUUUUUCCAGAACAAAUUAAAAAAAAAGACUAUCAGA
RNA transcript from Sander lucioperca (pikeperch), 2260 nucleotides. It is a transcript of the gene named heparin-binding EGF-like growth factor a, with no coding region annotated. The record is from RefSeq and is a predicted model, not a curated record. NCBI's taxonomy places the organism in Eukaryota, Metazoa, Chordata, Actinopteri, Perciformes, Percidae. The transcript has 7 exons.